This is a long non-coding RNA of Oncorhynchus nerka (sockeye salmon), 232 nucleotides long. RefSeq lists it as uncharacterized. NCBI's taxonomy places the organism in Eukaryota, Metazoa, Chordata, Actinopteri, Salmoniformes, Salmonidae. The record is from RefSeq and is a predicted model, not a curated record. The transcript has 3 exons.
CUACAAUGACUCUCUUCUGGAACAUGACACCAGAGCUAAGAGACCAAUCAAGCAGGAGAGACCAGCCUCCCCUGUUCCCAGCUGUGUGUCCAUGAAGAGUGACUGGUCUAUGGGUCAUCCUAUACAGUUUAGAGAGGGAGACUUUUCUACUGAACCAAGAAAUCAACAAAAGAGAUCAGAGUCAGAGAUUCUCAGUGGUCAGCCUUCCCAGAGUCAUCAAACAGACCUGGAC